Molecule: ribosomal RNA, 481 nt
Filed under: uncultured Bacteroidota bacterium
Lineage: Bacteria; Pseudomonadati; Bacteroidota
Description: bacterial SSU rRNA
Rfam family: Bacterial small subunit ribosomal RNA
Source: RNAcentral
AGGAAUAUUGGUCAAUGGACGAAAGUCUGAACCAGCCAUGCCGCGUGCAGGAAGAAUGCCCUAUGGGUUGUAAACUGCUUUUAUUUGGGAAGAAACCUUCUUACGUGUAAGAAGCUGACGGUACCAAACGAAUAAGCACCGGCUAACUCCGUGCCAGCAGCCGCGGUAAUACGGAGGGUGCAAGCGUUAUCCGGAAUCAUUGGGUUUAAAGGGUCCGCAGGCGGGCAUAUAAGUCAGUGGUGAAAUCUCUCGGCUCAACCGAGANACUGCCAUUGAUACUGUAUGUCUUGAAUUCGGUCGAAGUAGGCGGAAUGAGUAGUGUAGCGGUGAAAUGCAUAGAUAUNACUCAGAACACCGAUAGCGAAGGCAGCUUACUAGGCCUGGAUUGACGCUGAGGACGAAAGCGUGGGAGCGAACAGGAUUAGAUACCCUGGUAGUCCACGCCGUAAACGAUGAUUACUCGAUAUCAGCGAUAUACUGU